AGAGUUUGAUCCUGGCUCAGGACGAACGCUGGCGGCGUGCCUAAUACAUGCAAGUGGAACGCAUUGGUAACACCGGACUUGCUCCAGUGUUACUAAUGAGUCGCGAACGGGUGAGUAACGCGUAGGUAACCUGCCUGAUAGCGGGGGAUAACUAUUGGAAACGAUAGCUAAUACCGCAUAAGAGGAGUUAACUCAUGUUAACUGUUUAAAAGAAGCAAUGGCUUCACUAUCAGAUGGACCUGCGUUGUAUUAGCUAGUAGGUAGGGUAACGGCCUACCUAGGCAACGAUACAUAGCCGACCUGAGAGGGUGAUCGGCCACACUGGGACUGAGACACGGCCCAGACUCCUACGGGAGGCAGCAGUAGGGAAUCUUCGGCAAUGGACGCAAGUCUGACCGAGCAACGCCGCGUGAGUGAAGACGGUUUUCGGAUCGUAAAGCUCUGUUGUAGGGGAAGAACGUGUGUAAGAGUGGAAAGCUUACACAGUGACGGUACCCUACCAGAAAGGGACGGCUAACUACGUGCCAGCAGCCGCGGUAAUACGUAGGUCCCGAGCGUUGUCCGGAUUUAUUGGGCGUAAAGGGAGCGCAGGCGGUUUAGUAAGUCUGAAGUUAAAGGCAUUGGCUCAACCAAUGUAUGCUUUGGAAACUGUUAGACUUGAGUGCAGAAGGGGAGAGUGGAAUUCCAUGUGUAGCGGUGAAAUGCGUAGAUAUAUGGAGGAACACCGGUGGCGAAAGCGGCUCUCUGGUCUGUCACUGACGCUGAGGCUCGAAAGCGUGGGUAGCGAACAGGAUUAGAUACCCUGGUAGUCCACGCCGUAAACGCUGAGUGCUAGGUGUUAGGUCCUUUCCGGGACUUAGUGCCGACGCUAACGCAUUAAGCACUCCGCCUGGGGAGUACGACCGCAAGGUUGAAACUCAAAGGAAUUGACGGGGCCCGCACAAGCGGUGGAGCAUGUGGUUUAAUUCGAAGCAACGCGA
This 980-nucleotide ribosomal RNA is filed under the name uncultured bacterium. RNAcentral describes it as "bacterial SSU rRNA". It matches the Rfam family "Bacterial small subunit ribosomal RNA", at positions 8 to 964 of the family's 1533-position model. The record is from RNAcentral.